This 68-nucleotide transfer RNA is filed under the name Zeuzera multistrigata. RNAcentral's name for it is "tRNA-Trp". The record is from RNAcentral. Lineage: Eukaryota; Metazoa; Arthropoda; Insecta; Lepidoptera; Cossidae.
AAGGUUUUAAGUUAAUUAAACUAAUAAUCUUCAAAAUUAUAUAUAUAGAAAUUUCUCUUUAAGCCUUA